GUGGGGAAUAUUGGACAAUGGGCGCAAGCCUGAUCCAGCAAUGCCGCGUGUGUGAAGAAGGCCUGCGGGUUGUAAAGCACUUUGAGCGGGAAAGAAGGGCGGGGUGCUAACACCACCCUGCAUUGACGUUACCCGCAGAACAAGCACCGGCUAACUCCGUGCCAGCAGCCGCGGUAAUACGGAGGGUGCGAGCGUUAAUCGGAAUUACUGGGCGUAAAGCGUGCGUAGGCGGCCCGGUCAGUCUCGCGUGAAAGCCCCGGGCUCAACCUGGGAACUGCGCGGGAUACUGCCGGGCUGGAGUGCGGGAGAGGGCGGUGGAAUUUCCGGUGUAGCAGUGAAAUGCGUAGAGAUCGGAAGGAACACCAGUGGCGAAGGCGGCCGCCUGGACCGACACUGACGCUGAGGCACGAAAGCGUGGGGAGCAAACAGGAUUAGAAACCCUUGUAGUCC
Molecule: ribosomal RNA, 450 nt
Filed under: uncultured bacterium
Lineage: Bacteria
Description: bacterial SSU rRNA
Rfam family: Bacterial small subunit ribosomal RNA
Source: RNAcentral